Molecule: ribosomal RNA, 146 nt
Filed under: Colobus angolensis palliatus
Lineage: Eukaryota; Metazoa; Chordata; Mammalia; Primates; Cercopithecidae
Description: 5.8S ribosomal RNA (ENSCANG00000002220.1)
Rfam family: 5.8S ribosomal RNA
About the family: 5.8S ribosomal RNA (5.8S rRNA) is a component of the large subunit of the eukaryotic ribosome.
Source: Rfam by way of RNAcentral
AAUUCUUAGUGUUGGAUCACUCAGCUCGUGCAUUGAAGAAGAACGCCACCAGCUGUGAGAAUUAAUGUGAAUUACAGGACGCACUGAUUAUCCCUUCCAGUGCACUUGCAGCUCCCUGUUUCUCUCAGGGCUAUGCCUAAGUGGUC